RNAcentral lists this long non-coding RNA (1139 nucleotides) under Capra hircus (goat). Its description in RNAcentral is "lncRNA (ENSCHIG00000004550.1)". Lineage: Eukaryota; Metazoa; Chordata; Mammalia; Artiodactyla; Bovidae. The record is from RNAcentral.
GGAAAAGGAACAUUGAUUGAAGGCUUCCUGGGCAUCAGGUAGUGUCCUGGGUUUUCUUACCAUCUUAUUUCUUUUAAUCCUCCCAGCAGAGUGGGUGGUUAGUAUCUUUAUCCUCAUUUUACAGUUGAGGAAGUUGAAGGCUGCGGGAACUGUAGGAUGCUUGCUAGUUUUCUCCAUCGCCCGAAGUCACUUUGCAGGCAGGUUGGAAUCUGCUGGAAGCAAUCACUGCCACAGAAGUAUGAAUGAGCCACACCGGUCCACCCCGAGAUGUCUGCCUGUCACUGGGAGAAAACAGCUCCUGCUGGGUUUUCUGAACACUCAUCAGCUGGCAAAAUGACCCAACCCCAGAUGCCCAGGCCAGUGCAGGCCUGGAGGAGUUGGUGCCCGAAGACGGAUUCUUUACCACUAGUGCUACGUGGGAAGCCCUUUGCUAUGGGAAACUAUAUUUUUAAUAGAGAUGAGCCUCAGAGGCAAGGAAUCUUGACAGAUGGAGGCACUGAAGCUAGGAGCCAAUUUAGGAGGGGACAGUGGAGGGGCCAUUCAGACCACGGUGGCUGGUGGUCCCUCGGCCAGUAGCUGGAGUUAAAGGAGUCUUCCAUGGGAUCCUGCGUGGGUGCUCACUGGGUCCCGAAGUAGGGCUUGGGUACAGGUCCAUGGUCCAUCUGCUUGGAGAUGCAAUUUCUUCUUUGUAAAUGAGAGCAGUGAUACACACCUUGUGGGUUUGUUACUAAGAGUAAAUGGAGCAAAACACCAAGCAAGUUCUUAGCACUUAGUAGCUGCUCAAUAAAUAAUGGUUAUUAUGAUUCGUGUAACUGUUAUUUUUGCUUUGUCUGUUAUUAUCCUCUGGCACAUUCUGCCUUUGGGGAUUUCCGGGGAGGCCCUGGGUUCAGGAGCUCUUGUGUCACAGACUAGCUCUGACUCCUUCUGAUACCUGGCACAUCUACCUUCUCAUGGAUUAUGUGUUUUUUUGGUGUUUGGGCAGUGUAAUUACUCACAAUUUUUAUUUUCACAAGUUUUCUGACAUAGAUUAAUUUCAUAAUCAGAAAAAAAGGUUAUCACAACAUAUUGCUUAACAAAAACAAUUAUAAAAGAGUAAUAUAGAACAUUUGCUGUUUAAAAAUAUAUAUGUACAUAAAGAU